UCAGCCUACCCUAGCCCAGAACCCACUAACCCAACUCAAACAAAACAUUCACCCAAAGCCUAGUAUAGGUGAUAGAAAAGCACACCAUUGGGCGCUAUAGAAAAAGUACCGCAAGGGAAAGAUGAAAUAAAAAUGAAAACCUAAGCACCAAGCAGCAAAGAUAAACCCUUGUACCUCUUGCAUCAUGAUUUAGCAAGAAUAACCAGGCAAAGCGAACUAAAGCCUGCCACCCCGAAACCCAAGCGAGCUACUCACAAGCAGCUGCCAAGAGCUAACCCGUCUCUGUUGCAAAAGAGUGGGAUGACUUGUUAGUAGAAGUGAAAAGCCAACCGAGCUGGGUGAUAGCUGGUUGCCCACAAAAAGAAUUUAAGUUCUACCCUAGCCCCUCCCCAACAAACAAACCAACCUAAUCCCCACGCAGCGAGCUAAGAGCUAUUUAAAGGGGGUACAGCCCCUUUAAAAAAGGAUACAACCCCCACCAGCGGAUAACCACCAAUCCACUAAUCCCAAGUAGGCUUUAAAGCAGCCACCACCAAAGAAAGCGUCAAAGCCCUACAACAAAAAAUCCCCAAAACAAUGCGACUCCCUAAACUAUAGUGUGCCAACCUAUUAACAUAGAUGAAUUAAUGCUAAAACGAGUAACCAGGACACUCGUCCCCUUAAGCGCCAACCUGAUGACACCACUAACAGCACAACUACAAUCUUUCCCCUAAACAACAUUGAACACACCCUGUCAACCCAACCCAGGAGCGCACACUAGGAUGAUUAAAAUCUGCAAAAGGAACUCGGCAAACCCAAGGCCCGACUGUUUACCAAAAACAUAGCCUUCAGCCAAACAAGUAUUGAAGGUGAUGCCUGCCCAGUGAUACUAAAUUCAACGGCCGCGGUAUCCUAACCGUGCAAAGGUAGCGCAAUCAAUUGUCCCAUAAAUCGAGACCUGUAUGAAUGGCUAAACGAGGUCUUAACUGUCUCCUGCAGACAAUCAAUGAAACUGAUCUCCCUGUACAAAAGCAGAGAUGCCCACAUAAGACAAGAAGACCCUGUGGAACUUCAAAAUCAUUAACCACAACACCCCAAAAAUCAAACCUACCAAGGCCCACUCCCCAAAACACUGGUUAACAUUUUUAGGUUGGGGCGACCUUGGAGAAAAAAAGAUCCUCCAAAAACAAGGCCAAACCCCUUAACCAAGAGCAACCUCUCAACGCGCUAAUAGUACCCAGACCCAAUAAAAUUGACCAAUGAACCAAGCUACCCCAGGGAUAACAGCGCAAUCCCCUCCAAGAGCCCCUAUCGACGAGGGGGUUUACGACCUCGAUGUUGGAUCAGGACAUCCUAGUGGUGCAACCGCUACUAAGGGUUCGUUUGUUCAACGAUUAACAGUCCUACGUGAUCUGAGUUCAGACCGGAGUAAUCCAGGUCGGUUUCUAUCUAUGAUCAACCUCCCCCAGUACGAAAGGACCGAGGAGGUAGGGCCAAUACCCCAAGCACGCCCUCUCCCCAAGUGAUGCACCCCACUAAACCACCUAAGGACCACCCUUUACACCAACGAAAAAGGCA
RNAcentral lists this ribosomal RNA (1557 nucleotides) under Forpus modestus (dusky-billed parrotlet). Its description in RNAcentral is "16S ribosomal RNA". It matches the Rfam family "Bacterial large subunit ribosomal RNA", at positions 399 to 2925 of the family's 2925-position model. The record is from RNAcentral. Lineage: Eukaryota; Metazoa; Chordata; Aves; Psittaciformes; Psittacidae.